UACAGAGGGUGCGAGCGUUAAUCGGAUUUACUGGGCGUAAAGCGCACGCAGGCGGUUGGACAAGUCAGAUGUGAAAUCCCCGGGCUCAACCUGGGAACUGCAUUUGAAACUGUCUGACUAGAGUCUUGUAGAGGGGGGUAGAAUUCCAGGUGUAGCGGUGAAAUGCGUAGAGAUCUGGAGGAAUACCGGUGGCGAAGGCGGCCCCCUGGACAAAGACUGACGCUCAGGUGCGAAAGCGUGGGGAGCAAACAGG
Molecule: ribosomal RNA, 253 nt
Filed under: uncultured bacterium
Lineage: Bacteria
Description: partial 16S ribosomal RNA
Rfam family: Bacterial small subunit ribosomal RNA
Source: RNAcentral